UAGGGAAUAUUGGGCAAUGGCCGAGAGGCUGACCCAGCCAUGCCGCGUGCAGGAAGAAGGCCUUCUGGGUUGUAAACUGCUUUUAUCAGGGAAGAAAACGCUCCUGCGGGGGUAACUGACGGUACCUGAUGAAUAAGCACCGGCUAACUCCGUGCCAGCAGCCGCGGUAAUACGGAGGGUGCAAGCGUUGUCCGGAUUUAUUGGGUUUAAAGGGUGCGUAGGCGGCCCGUUAAGUCAGCGGUGAAAUCCCACGGCUCAACCGUGGAACUGCCGUUGAUACUGGCGGGCUUGAGUUCGGUCGAGGCGGGCGGAACUGGUGGUGUAGCGGUGAAAUGCAUAGAUACCACCAAGAACCCCGAUUGCGUAGGCAGCUCGCUGGGCCGAAACUGACGCGGAGGCACGAAAGCGUGGGGAGCGAACAGG
This 423-nucleotide ribosomal RNA is filed under the name Bacillota bacterium. RNAcentral's name for it is "Firmicutes bacterium partial 16S ribosomal RNA". It matches the Rfam family "Bacterial small subunit ribosomal RNA", at positions 355 to 776 of the family's 1533-position model. The record is from RNAcentral. Lineage: Bacteria; Bacillati; Bacillota.